CCUACGGGAGGCUGCAGUGGGGAAUAUUGCACAAUGGGCGCAAGCCUGAUGCAGCCAUGCCGCGUGUGUGAAGAAGGCCUUCGGGUUGUAAAGCACUUUCAGCGGGGAGGAAGGCGGUGAGGUUAAUAACCUCACCGAUUGACGUUACCCGCAGAAGAAGCACCGGCUAACUCCGUGCCAGCAGCCGCGGUAAUACGGAGGGUGCAAGCGUUAAUCGGAAUUACUGGGCGUAAAGCGCACGCAGGCGGUCUGUCAAGUCGGAUGUGAAAUCCCCGGGCUCAACCUGGGAACUGCAUUCGAAACUGGCAGGCUAGAGUCUUGUAGAGGGGGGUAGAAUUCCAGGUGUAGCGGUGAAAUGCGUAGAGAUCUGGAGGAAUACCGGUGGCGAAGGCGGCCCCCUGGACAAAGACUGACGCUCAGGUGCGAAAGCGUGGGGAGCAAACAGGAUUAGAUACCCUAGUAGUC
Molecule: ribosomal RNA, 465 nt
Filed under: uncultured Klebsiella sp.
Lineage: Bacteria; Pseudomonadati; Pseudomonadota; Gammaproteobacteria; Enterobacterales; Enterobacteriaceae
Description: bacterial SSU rRNA
Rfam family: Bacterial small subunit ribosomal RNA
Source: RNAcentral